UGGCUUAUGAUUAAAUUUGUUUGUUAGCUGGGCACUGAGUGUAUUCUAUCACCAGUGAGGUAAUCCUCACAGCACAUUCCACGUUCCUGGAAAACUACUGGCCUUCUGGGCUGCCAUGUGUUUAUCCAGCAUAGGUUGUGUGGCACAGCACAGUUAUGAACACCACAAAAUUGAGCUGGAAAUCUCUAUGAGAUGAGAAGAAGCAUGACUCACUUCUCCCUGCCCUAGGGAUUACUUCUAGCUUUCAUUUUGAGGAACAUAUUCUCUUUGCUGCCCGAGUUCUUCUUUUUCAUAUACUGGAAACCAGUACUUAGGGAAGGGAUUAACUUUGUGCUUUGGAAUGCCUGUCAAGGAGAGAACUAACAUACAACACCAAAGACUGAGACACUAGUCUGAGAUCAGUGGGCAAGCCAGAUGAGCUCUUCUUUGGCUGAGUAACCCCAUUUUUGAAGCUGAUACUGUUGCAAUGAAAGAUAGAAAAAUGCAGACUCAUAGACUAAUGUCUUAUACAUCACCUCAUGGUUAGAGCAUAAAAGCUGAGGCACACACUUCCCGAUACUCGAUGUAUAUGGUAUGGUAAGACACUUUUGGGAGCUGACCUUAAUAACACAAGACUACCACCGGCUGGCUGGUUCGCUCUGUGUUCCCGGCUAGCAGCCGACCCACUGCAGCUGAGCUGCUCAGAACCAUCUACCCAGCUCAGAGAAACUGGCUGCUGCUGCGGGAAAGCCGCAAAGCCGUAUACUCUCUAAGAUAAGCGCAACCGCUUUUGUGACCUCUCUCCACCGCUGACCGACUGCUGCCAAACGCCUCGGAAUAACUGAACGCCUGUGCUACCUGCUGGUCAAAUAUAUUUACUGCAUCUGGAGUAGAAAUCAGGUAAAAUUAUGGCGGAAUAUUUAUCAUUUGCUAAAAUUGGUAAUGUUUUUGCUUAUUACGUGAAUUCACUGUUUGAGGAGGAUGCUAAUUUGCCAAUUACUGGCCUAUAUGCUGUAAUGGCAGUUAGCUUGCUGGUACAAAUAGUAUUACUAGCCAGAGGACUCAGGAACAGGGACAGAAAUAACCUCACCACCUGCUUGCAGGAAAUAACAGCUUUACGCAAUGAGGUUUUGGAAAACAGAUUAGGUCAGACCACAAUUGUGCAGCAAGUGGAACAGAAAUUGGAUGAUAAGCUUGGCUCUGUGUCCAAUACACUAAAGACAGAGCUGUCUGAUGAGAUGCAGCUUAUUUAUGAUAAGAUAAACACAGAGAGAUCCUCCAUGUCUGAGGCCUUAGAGGCUAGGCUGUCAGAAGACCAUGACCAGCUAAAGAAUAUCUGUAGCCAGCUAGAAACUCAGAUAGGCAAUGUUACUCAUCAACUAGAUGCAACGGUGCAAAAUACCCAGCAUAGGGUUGAAGAAUUGGACAAUGCCAUUCAAUCAGUUAUUGAAGCAUCCAAGGUAGCAGAUCAGAAAUUUGAGUCUAGAUUUGAAUGUUUGGAAGAUAAUUUACAGUACAGGGCUGACAGAUUACAUAGGUCCAUACGGUCGAUUGCUGAGGACUCAAAAUCAGCAAAUCAUGACCUGGAAUCUAGACUCCAAUACCUAGAAGGCAGUUUCCAUGCCAUCCAGAUUCUGCCUAAGGAUGAUCGUAUUAAAGACCUAGAAAAACAUGUAGAUGAGCAGUUAGAGCAAUUUACAGAUUCACUAACAAUCCCAGGCAACUACUCCACCUAGGUAUCAUGACUAUUCUUCUAAGGUUGUUACUCGUACACCAUUAGUGUACCCAGCUACCAUGGUAGAAAAGCCAGCUUCUAAGAAACACCCUCAUGGACGAAUGGUUUAUGAAUGGCAACCUAUACAGCCGAAGGAUCUUAAGAAUAUUAAAGAAUCAGUUGUCUCAUAUGGUCUCCAUAGCCCAUACGUAAAACAGCUAUUACAUUCAUGGGCAACCUUUAACAGAGUGACACCCACAGAUUGGGAACAAUUGGUAGCAGCUGUACUUGAGAAUUCAUGCCAAUUCCAGUGGAAGGCAUUGGUAAGGGAAGAGGCAAAGCUCCUUGAGCGUCAGGGCAUAAAGGAAGGUUUUGAAGCCCCUCUAGAUAAGCUUCUUGGUCAGGGUAUUUAUGCUGACCCACAGGUUCAGGCUGAAUAUGAUGACGAUAUACUGUCUCUAUGCAGGAAAGCAGCAUUAAAUGCCUGGGAUAAGGUUCGUGAGCCAGGAGAACGCCUAGAAGCUUAUACCAGAAUAGAACAGGGACCUACAGAACAGUUCCAGGACUUCUUACAAAGGUUAACUAGGGCAGUAGAAAUACAGGUAACAGAUCCAGAAACAAGACAAUCAAUUAUAUAUACAAUAGCUUAUGAAAAUGCAAACCCUAUAUGCAAAAGAAUACUUUUGCCUUUAAAGAUCAGAUCAGCUCCGCUAGAAGAAUGGGUUUUGUAUGCAGCCAACAUUGACUAUAAUGUGCAAGAUACUGGAGCUUGGGUAGGAGAAGCCAUCUCCAAAGGUUUAAAACGG
Molecule: long non-coding RNA, 2499 nt
Filed under: Cricetulus griseus (Chinese hamster)
Lineage: Eukaryota; Metazoa; Chordata; Mammalia; Rodentia; Cricetidae
Description: lncRNA (ENSCGRG00015040669.1)
Source: RNAcentral